GUUCCACGGCCGCCACACAGGCUCGGCACAGCUCCGCGUCGUCAGCGCCCGCUCCACUUCAUCCUUCGCGCGCCUCUCUUCGCCGCCCCUAGGUCCCGCCGAUCUGAUACGACGAAAGAGGGAGGAAGGCGUGAUGUGGUUGCUGCUGCUUUAGCACUCCACGGAAAGAGCACUAGAGAAGAAGAAACAUAGAAGAGAAGAUGAAUAGAAGAGAAAUACCCGAGAUCAUCACAAUUUGUCAAGUUGAAACCAAACUGCUGAGCUACAUCAGUAAAAUCUACAUCUUAUGUAUACUGUCUAAUUUCAUAUCAUAUCACUACAUAACAUUUAGAAUCAUGAGAAGUAGUUUGUAUUUUGAUUGCUAGAAACUUAGAAUUGCUUUUUCGUUUAUUUACAUGAAGGAGAAAUCUGUAUGUAUAGGUUGGUUCAGUAGCUGCCCAAGAGUAUGAAAAAUGUGCUCCAACUGUGCUUUCGUUGAAAAACAUCUGCUAAACCUGAAAUAAUUGUGAUUUUAGGCUAACACUAUGGUUCCUGAAUUGGUUAUUGUAUUGAUGACAUCUGAAUUAGUAUUACUUGCACGAGAUUAUAAGAUAGUACUUCUGGAAAUUAUGAUUCUUUUUCACAUGGUAUAAGUAGUACUUCUGGAACUAACUUGUGUUAUGUGCCUCAUAGUUUUCAUUAGAAGUAUCUGUAAACAGAUAUGUUUCUCCUAUAUAUGCUCUUAUGUAAAGAUAUAUGUUUCUAGCUAACUCAGCACUUUACUUAUAUUUCAGUAUCAGGUUUAAUAAUAUUAAUUAUUUUUUUCUCCUAUAUAGAACAAGAAGAUUUACAAGUAGUGCAUGUUCACACAUUUUGCAGAAGCCAGAUCCACAGCACGUCUCCUCUAGGUAAUAGUGAUGCCCAACCUUUGGUUAGCAACUAUGGUAUAUUAGUUUCAACUUUCAUUCGAUUGUUUUGGACUAUGAUUAUCAUUUUUGAUUUAACUUGGGACUGUGGGUCAGUGGUUGAUUCUCCUGGUACUCAUUAAUCUUUUGGUGAAUAGGGAACUUUAUCUCACAUUUCUUUAGUCUUAUGUCUGAAACAUAUAUUCCCAUAUUCAGUGCUUCAGUCGAUGGAUAUCACUUUAUUCUCGUUCCCAAUUUUGUCAACAUGAUUUUGGACCUAACAGAGAUAACACUAUCUGUAGUACCAACUACCAAGGAGCUACUGCUGGUGCGUGUAAUGUUUUGUUGUUACAUAUUGCAGUAAAAAUAUUAGUUGUGCAUCAAGCAAAAUACUGGGGAGCCAGGCUGAAUGGAACCUCAUUUCUGAAUAGUAAUCAAUAUGGAUUGCCAGGUUGCAGGUCUAUAACACCUCUGUACAUGCAAGGCCAUUUAUGUUGUUGUAGCAAGUUAUGUUGGUUGACUUCCACUGAUUUUUUCGAACACUGUAUGUAUAGAAUGGUGACCGUAAUGCCAAGUAGUGUCCACGUGUGAUUCAUGAUAGAUCAUGCAAUUACCACACUAACCAUAUUUAUUCUUUUUUAUAAUUACUACAAUUACCACCCAGAAGACCCAGGAGGACAAAGAGGUUAGUGCAAAGGAUCUGCAUGUACGAUUUUAUGUCAGCUCGUUAAGUAAUUCCAUGUACUGUAUGGCUGAACUGAUGUUAAAUUAUACAUGGGAGUGCAAGGGAAUUACUCCAUUCUUGUAUUUAGACAAUACCAAUGUAUUUGGACAUACUCUAUGCACAAGCAAGGUAGGUGCACUAUCUGAAGGUACGACGAUACCAGGGGUGAUCAUGUCAUAGAAUCAUCAUUGGACACACCGUUUGAUUCUCAUGGUGAGGCUUACGAUGUGAUGAUGUUGACCGCCCAUUGGUUAGGAUGAUACUUGCGGCUUCAUCUGCAUUUUUUACUUAGUUUAUCCCAUCAAUUUUGGCACUCUUUUACUUGAUUCCUCAGACCAUGAUGAGUUGAUGACAUACAUGAUUUUACUUAUGUUAGUGAGGUCAUAAAGUCACUUAAUCGGCAAUAAUUGAUUUUUGGCAUGAAGUGAAUUAAAUGGUAUCCUAGCUAAUUAGUUUGUUUAUAUCAUUGAUCUCUUCCAUCAGACUUCAGUUGAUCGAAAAAAAUAGAAAUUACUUUCAGGUUCAGAUUAAGGAGAACCGACAUUAUGAGAUACUGCUGCCAUUUUAUUCAUCUUUACGUAGAUUGUGUUUCUGGCUAUACCUGCACAUUUACCAUGCUUAACUUCCAUUUCAUAUCUCGCUAUGAAAAGCAAUUUGUAAUACUCUUGAUUCUCAAAUAUUUAGUGUUGGCAGUCAACCAACUAAGCUCAUAAGUGUUAUGAUGUUUAUGCUUAUUUUUUUGUAAUGGAAGACCUGAAGGCCUCCCUUCCUAUAGGCCACAUGGAAAAAAAAUGUUGUAGAGGUACUGCACUACCAAGUAUCAGUCAGUAGUCCAAUGAGGCAUCAGCAACCAAUCAUUUCAAUCAUACAGAUUUUAGCGCAUAGCAGAAUACAAUAAAAAGUGUUUAAGCUAAACAUGUUGAGCCGGAGCAGACCAUAUGAUUACUCCAGUGACAUGUGUGACAAGUCUUGACACCCAUGCUCUUUGGAUUGGUACUGUGUCAGGUAAGGUAACAUAUCCCCUUGGGCAUGACGGUUUUAUUCCCUGCUUGAUCCGACCUAUGCAAAAGACCACAUGGUUUUAUUCCCUGCUUCAUCUGUUAAGUGAUUGGCACUGCAUGUCCACCAUUGGCAAUGACAUAAGGGGAAGGCAGGAGCAGAAGUGUAGGUUGGUUGUGCUACGUGCAACAACAAGGUUUCCUUUUUGAAUCAGUUGAUGGUUGAUGAUACUGCUAGAUAUGGUGGUUGAUGAUCAUGCUAUCAAGAUGAAGCUUUGAAUUUGAGAUCAGAUUUAGAGUUUGGGGAAAAUGAGACGAUUGGCAAUAACGAGGUCAUCAAGAUCAAGCCGCCCACUGUCGAGGUUGUGGCCGCUGCCGCAUUGUUCUAGGUUCGGUCUCUUCCUCCAGAUCCGGCAUCUUGCUGCCACAAUUACGUCCGCGGGUCACUCUCACCCCUACCUCCUCCAACACACAACAAUAUCACUGAAGACACCUGUUAUUUUCAUGUUCAUCAGGCCAUGUGCUUUGCUCUUACUGUCUGCAUAGGUUCAUGAAUCAUCAGUCACGCAUUAUAUGCCUAGGAUUUGUGUGCUCGUGGUUGUGAUAGAAUAACUGCUGUCUUUUUAUUUCAAGUUUUGCUCAUUAUUUUGUUGAAUCAAUUGCAGCUUAAAAUGUGUUAAUGCAAUGAUGUUCUGUGGGGCAUACAUAUGUACUCUUUCUAUUUACUUAGAGCUUGUUAUGUAAUUGGAGCUGAAUCACAUUGAUAUUUUGGUCAGUAAUUAGCUCUUGCACUGCUGAGGUGUGUUUUUACCAUGUAGCUUCAUAAAUCGUAGGCAUAUCGUGGUUCUGCUGAAAUGAUCAUACCUUUGUAGCAUGUUCCAAAUUUUAACUUACUAUUACGCUGGAUGAUGGUUUAUAUUGGAACUCGCAGUACUGUGGGGAUCAUCAAAACGCAUUGUUUCAAUAAUUCUAUCAGAUCCUUCUGUUAAGUCAACCUAAUAAAGUUUACCGAAUAGGUUCAUGGAUUUUCCAGCACAUCUUCUAGGCAUAACAUGGGUUCUAUAUAAAUAAUCAUAGAUUUGACUAAUAUUUUUGCAUUUCCUUGUUAUUAUGGUCGAUGGUUGUUUAAAUUCUCAUGUGGGUGUUCUUCCAAGUGCAUUGUUUUUAUAUUUGUAACAGAUCCAUUUGUUAAGUCAAUCUAAGAAACUUUAUGAUAUAAUUCCCUUGGGGCAAUUGUUUAAUUGAUGAGAUUAACAAACAUGGUACCUUGCUUUUCUUUGCAGGGAAAGAUCAUGGAGGAAGAUUACUCAGAAGCGCCAGCGCCACAACUUCCUAUGGACAUCAUGUACAAGAUCCUAUCGCACAUAUCUGAUCCAGCCCCCUUGCCUGCCUUGCUUCAUCUUGCAAGUUCUGGCAUGAUCUUAUGAAGGGACCCGGUCUUGAUAAAUGGUUAGUUCUAUAUAUAACCAUCAUGUGUGCGCGUUUACAUUUCUAUCUGUUGGGGACACUCUUUCUUUAAGCAGUAUCAUCUGUGAGGUUAGCUCUCACUUAUAUUUGCACUGAGGAUGAUACUCAAAUAUCUUCCGAUUGGACAAGGCCUUGCUACUAGCUUAUGCACAAUAUUUAUUGUUAACCUUUGUUCUGUCAAUUCAUGUUCUGUUUUUCAUUUAUCUUGGUUCUUAUCCACUCUUGUGUAUAUACUUGUUUUUUUCUUUUUAAGUAGUCGGGAUCUUCGUACUGUUUCCUGUAAAAAGGGAAUUAGGCGAUAAAGGAAUCAUGGAUGAUAGUUGUGUUAAGAUAGCACAGGAGAAGUUCUAUUCUAUUCCCUAGAUACCAGGUACAACCAUACAAGGGGUGUUUAAGAAACUAAGUUUCUCUUGCAUUUACUACAUGUAGACAUGAGCAUCAAAAAACUUAGUUGUGUUAAAAAUUAAGAUUGCAUCAGCUGUUGCAUGAUGAUUCAUCUGUUAAUCGUCCAUGUGUACUGUCAAUAUUGGUGCAUGUUGCAUCUCAGGUAAUCAUGGUUUAAUUUUUCGAGGUAUUGAAUAUUUGCUGACUUCUUAGUUUUCUUGCUCCUUUCUACGACACCCGGAAUAUAAAAUUAACAUUAGUUGAAUCCAUGCUCAAAACUUAUAUGUUUAUUUGUUAGGAAUAUCUUGUGCACACCAAGUUACUGCUCUCCUUGCUGUCACACCUGACAAGAUCAGGUUCUUUCGAUUGUUCUCAUAACUUAAUUAUUCUUCCAAUUUUUUUAUGCCAGCUAUUGCUGUUCUGAAAAUGCUAAAAAUGCUUGGCAGUUCCAGUGUUACUUAUGAAAUUGUUUACCUUUGAAAUCUUUAAAUUACAUAAGCCUUUUUGUGCAAUUUUCUCAGAUCCCACCAAAUCAAUUCCAGUAUGACUUAGCCAAAGUGGACCAUCAAUUCUUUCUCUACCAGAUGCUUCAUGCUCUGAGUUAUAUUUAUAAUGGCCUACUACAGAUCAGCACAAUGCCACUGUGUUUCGUUUUGAUUUACAAAUCCGAUUUUAAGGUGAGUUGUAAUUUAGUGGAUAUGGGCACUACUGAAUUGUGAUUUGUAGGUUCCAGGCGAGGACAUUGGCCAGUAAUUACAUGUUGUUAUGUCUUAGUAGCAGAAAGGAACAACCUCUAUAUAUGAAACUGGAGUAUUUUUAGAAGAUAUAAAAGUACAGUAUUGAGCUUUAUGAAUUA
This is a long non-coding RNA of Lolium rigidum, 5313 nucleotides long. RefSeq lists it as uncharacterized. NCBI's taxonomy places the organism in Eukaryota, Viridiplantae, Streptophyta, Magnoliopsida, Poales, Poaceae. The transcript has 3 exons. The record is from RefSeq and is a predicted model, not a curated record.